RNAcentral lists this ribosomal RNA (415 nucleotides) under uncultured microorganism. RNAcentral describes it as "bacterial SSU rRNA". It matches the Rfam family "Archaeal small subunit ribosomal RNA", at positions 330 to 745 of the family's 1478-position model. The record is from RNAcentral.
GCGCACCAGUCGAGAAAACUUCACAAUGUGCGAAAGCACGAUGAGGGAAUCCCAAGUGCUUGCACGUAAGUGUAAGCUGUUUCUCUGUCUAAAACGCAGAGAGAGUAAGGGCUGGGUAAGACGGGUGCCAGCCGCCGCGGUAAUACCUGCAGCUCGAGUGGUGACCGUUAUUAUUGGGCCUAAAACGUCCGUAGCCGGUUUAAUAAAUGCCUGGGUAAAUCGGACCGCUUAACGGUUCGAAUUCCGGGUAGACUGUUAAACUUGAGACCGGGAGAAGUUAGAGGUACUCCUGGGGUAGAGGUGAAAUUCUGUAAUCCUAGGGGGACCACCAGUGGCGAAGGCGUCUAACUAGAACGGGUCUGACGGUGAGGGACGAAGCCCUGGGGCGCAAACGGGGAUUAGAUACCCCCGUAGU